CACGUAGGGUGCGAGCGUUGUCCGGAAUUAUUGGGCGUAAAGAGCUCGUAGGCGGUGUGUCGCGUCGGCCGUGAAAACCUGCAGCUUAACUGUGGGCUUGCGGUCGAUACGGGCAUCACUGGAGUUCGGCAGGGGAGACUGGAAUCCUGGUGUAGCGGUGAAUGCGCAGAUAUCAGGAGGAACACCGGUGGCGAAGGCGGGU
Molecule: ribosomal RNA, 202 nt
Filed under: uncultured bacterium
Lineage: Bacteria
Description: partial 16S ribosomal RNA
Rfam family: Bacterial small subunit ribosomal RNA
Source: RNAcentral